GUGUUCUCUUUUACUCCAUAUAGCUGGGAGCAAGUCUGUUUCUAACUGAGAUGAAUAGCGAGAUAGUUCCCUUAAAUAGUAGUAAUGUAAAAGUAUCACGCAGCUUUCGACAUUACUGGGUUUUACUACUAAAGUUUUACUUAUUUCAAUUUACCAUCUGCAUCAAAUAAGAACCUGUGGUGCAUAAUAUCGGCAGGAAUUAAACCAGGGUCAGUUUGGUAAGUCAAGCUUCGCCCCUCUUCGCUGCACAUAAGAAAUGACAGUUUUUUUUGUUUGUUUGUUUCUUUUUGGUUUUUGAGACAGGUCUCCCAUAUAGUUCAUGCAGCUCAGGAUGGCCUUGAACCCGUGGUGAUCCUCCUGCCUCAGCCUGCCCAGCAUUGGAAUUAUGGGCAUGUACCACUGAUGCUGGCCAAGAAAGCGCUAUGUAGCAAGAGAAGAAACGAGAGCCUGGAAUAGAACUACGUAAAAAAGACAGAUGAUGUGGGACAAGCAGAGGAACCGCCACCUCCGGCACAGCUCUGGAAAUUGCCAGAAAGGAGGGAAAAGGUGGUGGAGGAUGAAGAAAUGAGGACAGGAGUCAGAAUGCAGGAAGCUGAGGUCAGGUGGAGCCUGCGGUCUGAAGGGAGAAAGGAGCUGCCUAAGAACUGCAGGGCACGCACCGCCAGCAGGAGUUGGAGCAGGGGAAACUCCUCUCCGAAGGGGAGGAAGGGCCCACUAACCACUCAUGUGUCUGUCUGUCUGUCUCGCCUGGGCGCCUGGUGUUCCAGGGCUGGCCUUGCCGCAGCCCUGAGUAUGCGACCCAGCCAGCCCCAGCUCAGCUGCUUCCCACAGCGCUGGAUACACAAAAAGAAUCAGAAAAUAACUUUGUCCAAGGAGCCAAAGAAGACAAGGACUCGGGAAACUAGGGUUCAAAUGUGAUGUGAGGUGAGGGGAAUGCCCUGGAAAGGAAAACUCCCGAGUUGGAAAGUUGGAAAGUGUAGACGUGGCUGUCUGGAGGGCCAGGAGUUUUUGAAGAGUAGUGGUGUGAGAAGCAGGCUUUGACUUUUCUGUCGGAGCACAAGGCCAAGGCAACUCCAUUAUGGGUUUAAAUGACCUGCCCAUCUACUCUCUGUCCACACCACACACUCUAAUAUCCUGAGCUUCAAAAAAUGGUGACUGUGUACUUAUUCCUGGAACACUGCCUGUUGCCAAGAUAAAGAACCAAGAACUGCCCAUCCCAACCCAUAUGGCCUCUCUCCUCCCUCACAAUAAGAACCAAGGACUUUGUGUCCCUAACCCCACCCCUCUCUAACUUAGCACACUUGGUGUGCUAAGAGUCCGUCCACUAUGGUAGACCGUAAGGCUUUCCACUCAGCCAGUGAAUCUGAAGGUCAGCUGUCCUCCUGGGUAGGAAUGAAAGGUCAGCCCUCCUCUGUUCUGUGUGCCUGCUACCUUGAGCUUGUGCCCUUCUGCAGAAGUAAAAUGCCCAGUCAGGAUUUCUUGAUGACUGAGUGCUUCACUGCCUGCACCAAUUAUUUGAGUCUGAGGACUUAUUUCCAACAGUGGCACAGAGGCCACAGAGUUGAAAUUAGCAGUACAGGGAAAGAAGGAAACCGGGUGGCAGAUUUGGGGAUGGAGAGCUGUGGGGAAAAGUAUACAGGGAAAAGCGAUGUCAGGAAGCCGAGGAGAGAUACCCUUGGUGAAUUAGAAGUGUUGGCAAAGCAAAUAAACAAAAGAAAAACUAAAUGUCAGUGAGUAGAAGAAUGUUGAAUUAAUUGUAUGUUCGUACAGUAUUACAUACCCUUUGAAAGAGUAAAUCGGAUCCAAAAUAAUAACUGGAAGAGUGGCUAUGCUAAAUUAGAAAGCCAUUAAAAGAACACCGCAGACCAAUACGUGUAACCCAAUUGUGUUUUAUUGUCAUCUGUAAACACCCAUGUGUCUGUGUAAGCACAAGAGCUCUCCGGAAAGGUGUGCACCCAGUGGCCCACGCUGUGAUCUCCAGGGGAGUGGGACUGGAGUGCCGAGGAUUCUGUGAUCAACAGUCAUGUUCCACUUCUGACCGUCUACAGUGAGCGAAGGAUGAUUUGGAAAUACAUUGCAGUAUCCACUGCGGUGAGGAAAGCUAGCUGCAUUCUACCAAGGAGGAUCUGAGUGAGGAGCAUGGAAUGAAGACCUAGCAGGUCAAGGAGGAGUUAAGGUGGCCGAUGAAAUUGAUGUUACUGAUCCGCUGACCUUGAGAUGGAGAGAUUAGCCAGUUCUUCACGUGGACCCAAUAAAUUCAAGGUAACCCUUGAGUACACAUCUUUAGAAGUUAUUACUGUUGGAAUGGAUAAUUCUUCACCACACCAUAGAAUGAGAAGAUAUACUUGGCCUGAUUAUUUUCUUGGCUGUCCUGCUUCAGACCGCAAGCCUAGUGGAGGAGACUGAAAGACACAAAAAUGAAAUGGCACUCAGGAGCUGGACUGAGUCUUACUCAAGAGAAAGUCGCUGUACUGUUAGGCUCCUUACAGAGCAACUGACAGCACCGAAAGAGGCUCUUCACUCCUAAAUUCUUCAGGGUCUUAAAGAUACACCUCCCAAGCAGCUGGGAUUGCAGGCAAGCCGCAUUGUUCCUGGCCCUCUCGUGCUUUUGUUCCUGCUGCUCUGUCUGUCAGGCCCUAGAACAUUCUGUGGAUAACUUUGGAUACCAAAUCCAUCAGACUCUGGACCCACUGUGGUUACCAAAUCCACCACUACUCUCCUGCAUUUUUUACAGGAUCAGCUAGGUUAAUUGCAAGUAUCCUGAGCUUAAUAUCCCUAGAGCUCUAUGUUAACUAUGUGGCAGAGGUCACUAAUUUCUUUUCUUGGCCCUCAUACAACCUGGCUGCUUCCACUUACUCUGUGUUUGGCUGAUGGGGUCUGACCUCACCCUGUGCAGCAUGAGAGCUGGAAGGGAGCUACUCCCUGGUGAGCAGAAGACUCUGAAUUCUGGGAUGAUUUAGGUUUGUUUUGUGUUAAAGUUUGCUUAAAUCUCAGAAGGGAUUUGUAAACCAUAUAACUGUGUGAGGUAACGUAAAACUGGACAUGUCCUUCCUUGUCUUUGUAUAUUUUGAACCAGGCUAUUUAGACAGAAAAAGCACUCAUUUAUAAUUGUAUGUGAAAAUAAAAGGAAUGUUGGAUAUGAAGACUAAAUGUAAAAGUAUUAUGAUGCUGGCUUAGUACUUUAAAUAAAAUGGGGCCUUUUAGUUGGAAAGACCUGAGUCCAACACA
Molecule: long non-coding RNA, 3228 nt
Organism: Cavia porcellus (domestic guinea pig)
Lineage: Eukaryota; Metazoa; Chordata; Mammalia; Rodentia; Caviidae
Exons: 9
Source: RefSeq, a predicted model, not a curated record